GGGUGAGUAAUGUCUGGGAAACUGCCUGAUGGAGGGGGAUAACUACUGGAAACGGUAGCUAAUACCGCAUAACGUCGCAAGACCAAAGAGGGGGACCUUCGGGCCUCUUGCCAUCGGAUGUGCCCAGAUGGGAUUAGCUAGUAGGUGGGGUAAAGGCUCACCUAGGCGACGAUCCCUAGCUGGUCUGAGAGGAUGACCAGCCACACUGGAACUGAGACACGGUCCAGACUCCUACGGGAGGCAGCAGUGGGGAAUAUUGCACAAUGGGCGCAAGCCUGAUGCAGCCAUGCCGCGUGUGUGAAGAAGGCCUUCGGGUUGUAAAGCACUUUCAGCGGGGAGGAAGGGAGCAGACUUAAUACGUCUGUUCAUUGACGUUACCCGCAGAAGAAGCACCGGCUAACUCCGUGCCAGCAGCCGCGGUAAUACGGAGGGUGCAAGCGUUAAUCGGAAUGACUGGGCGUAAAGCGCACGCAGGCGGUCUGUUAAGUUGGAUGUGAAAUCCCCGGGCUUAACCUGGGAACUGCAUUCAAAACUGACAGGCUAGAGUCUCGUAGAGGGGGGUAGAAUUCCAGGUGUAGCGGUGAAAUGCGUAGAGAUCUGGAGGAAUACCGGUGGCGAAGGCGGCCCCCUGGACGAAGACUGACGCUCAGGUGCGAAAGCGUGGGGAGCAAACAGGAUUAGAUACCCUGGUAGUCCACGCUGUAAACGAUGUCGAUUUGGAGGUUGUGCCCUUGAGGCGUGGCUUCCGGAGCUAACGCGUUAAAUCGACCGCCUGGGGAGUACGGCCGCAAGGUUAAAACUCAAAUGAAUUGACGGGGGCCCGCACAAGCGGUGGAGCAUGUGGUUUAAUUCGAUGCAACGCGAAGAACCUUACCUACUCUUGACAUCCAGAGAAGCCUGCAAAGAUGCGGGUGUGCCUUCGGGAGCUCUGAGACAGGUGCUGCAUGGCUGUCGUCAGCUCGUGUUGUGAAAUGUUGGGUUAAGUCCCGCAACGAGCGCAACCCUUAUCCUUGGUUGCCAGCCUUUCGGGUGGGAACUCAAGGGAAACUUGCCGGUGAUAAACCGGAAGAAAGGUGGGGGAUUGACGUCAAGUCAUCAUGGGCCCUUUACNAAGUAGGGCUACCNACCUGGCUACAAUGGGCGUAUACAANAGAGAAACGGACCUCCCGNGAGAGCAAGCGGGACCUCUNAAAAGUACCCUCCUAAUCCCGGGAUNGGGAUUU
This 1223-nucleotide ribosomal RNA is filed under the name Dickeya chrysanthemi. Its description in RNAcentral is "bacterial SSU rRNA". It matches the Rfam family "Bacterial small subunit ribosomal RNA", at positions 104 to 1306 of the family's 1533-position model. Lineage: Bacteria; Pseudomonadati; Pseudomonadota; Gammaproteobacteria; Enterobacterales; Pectobacteriaceae. The record is from RNAcentral.